GUUUUAAAUGACAUGAUUGUAUAGAAGACAAAAAUGGAUAUUUGCGACGUUACUUGCUACUUUAUUAAACAGGCAAUUCUUAAAAGGUGCAAUGUGUUUUGAUGUCUAGCCAUUUACUUUUUACACAAAAAUGUUAGAAUUGGAAGAGAACUUAAACUUUUUUUUUCUUCAACAGACUAAUUUUGCAUCAGAAGAGAGGAUGCUGAGCACUGGAAUUGGUGCCCCUGGAUUUGACCAGAAGGAAGAGUCUAACCCAGAAAAUUUGACUCCUUGAGACACGGAUUCUCUGGCAACCCCCGGCAUGUGCGUGGUCUUGGCUCAUCCAAAGACCCCUUGUUGAUUUUGCAUCUGGACAUAGUGGGCCAACAUUGUAUGAUGUACAAGGUGUCAGUAAAGCCUGCAGGGGAUCCUUCGAUCCUAGCAAAAUGACAAGUCUCAUUGUUCCUGUGAGGGAGCAGACAAAGAGACCAGAGGAUUUAACUCUUUCAAGUGAAUGCUAUCCUACUUUGAGUUCUGCCUUGAGAGGUGAGCUUCCCUGAGCUACAUACAAUUGAAUAAAACUGUAUUAUUAGUAAAAGCCCCUUCA
Molecule: long non-coding RNA, 586 nt
Filed under: Felis catus (domestic cat)
Lineage: Eukaryota; Metazoa; Chordata; Mammalia; Carnivora; Felidae
Description: lncRNA (ENSFCAG00000043737.2)
Source: RNAcentral